CGCUUGCUGCUCGAUCGGAGAGGAAUAAACCGGCCGCUCGCCUUCUCGCCCGCCCGACCUCCGCCGCGCCGGCCGUACGUACCCAAUCGAUGGAGAUGAAGAAGGUGUUCUUCGCCGCUCUUGUUGUCGCUGCCUCGGCGACCGCGGUGCUCGCCUCCGAGGCGCCCACCGGCGCCCCCGGCGCCCCCGGCGGCGCCCCUGGCCCCGCCGCCAGCGGCGCUUCUGCCUCCACCGCCGUGACCGCCCCCGUCGCGCUCGUCGUCUCCUUCCUCGCCUACUACCUCCACCACUGAUUGACGCGGCGUUGUAUGUCUCUGUUCGUUCGUUCGUUCUAGGUUGCUGCUGCUGUGAUGAUGGAGAAGAGGGGGAGGAGGGGGCAGCGUCGCAUUGGUGGCACGCGCGCGCUUGCAUGCAUGUAUGGGCGUGAACGAUGCGGCGCUGUUUUUAUUUUAUUAUUAUUAUUAUCUGAUUCGUGUCAUGUUUAUUCAUUAUAUGUAGCGCCUGUCUGAUAUUAAUCCUAUUAUACAUGAAUCGAGUGGUUUCAUUCUGCUGGGUUCUCUCGCCAUUUGCAAAUGUUUUGUUCUUCGCGUUCUUGCAAAUUUUCGUAGAAAUCACUAGUUGCUCCCAAUUUUCGUCUAGUGACCACGCAACAUUUUUUUAGGAAGUGUCCACGAAUCUAUAUGUGGCCCAUCUGCCCAGGGUGGUAGGUACUAGGCCCAGUAGGUUGUAAUGAGAACAUACAUUAAAGCCUGUCUCUAAUUAAGCCGACGAUCCCAAGCCUUGGGAGAUAGAGAAAGGCCCAAACUCGGGACUACCAGCCCAAAGGGCCGAAACGUCC
Molecule: long non-coding RNA, 838 nt
Filed under: Triticum aestivum (bread wheat)
Lineage: Eukaryota; Viridiplantae; Streptophyta; Magnoliopsida; Poales; Poaceae
Description: long non-coding RNA (TAES_LNC016623)
Source: RNAcentral